Molecule: ribosomal RNA, 483 nt
Filed under: uncultured bacterium
Lineage: Bacteria
Description: partial 16S ribosomal RNA
Rfam family: Bacterial small subunit ribosomal RNA
Source: RNAcentral
AUUGAACGCUGGCGGCAGGCCUAACACAUGCAAGUCGAGCGGAUGAAGGGAGCUUGCUCCUGGAUUCAGCGGCGGACGGGUGAGUAAUGCCUAGGAAUCUGCCUGGUAGUGGGGGAUAACGUCCGGAAACGGGCGCUAAUACCGCAUACGUCCUGAGGGAGAAAGUGGGGGAUCUUCGGACCUCACGCUAUCAGAUGAGCCUAGGUCGGAUUAGCUAGUUGGUGGGGUAAAGGCCUACCAAGGCGACGAUCCGUAACUGGUCUGAGAGGAUGAUCAGUCACUCUGGAACUGAGACGCGGUCCAGACUCCUACGGGAGGCAGCAGUGGGGAAUCUUGGACAAUGGGCGAAAGCCUGAUCCAGCCAUGCCGCGUGUGUGAAGAAGGUCUUCGGAUUGUAAAGCACUUUAAGUUGGGAGGAAGGGCAGUAAGUUAAUACCUUGCUGUUUGGACGUUACCAACAGAAUAAGCACCGGCUAACUUCGU